This 466-nucleotide ribosomal RNA is filed under the name uncultured bacterium. RNAcentral's name for it is "partial 16S ribosomal RNA". It matches the Rfam family "Bacterial small subunit ribosomal RNA", at positions 28 to 507 of the family's 1533-position model. The record is from RNAcentral.
GAUGAACGCUGGCGGCGUGCUUAACACAUGCAAGUCGAACGAUGAAGCCCAGCUUGCUGGGUGGAUUAGUGGCGAACGGGUGAGUAACACGUGAGUAACCUGCCCUUAACUCUGGGAUAAGCCUGGGAAACUGGGUCUAAUACCGGAUAGGAGCGUCCACCGCAUGGUGGGUGUUGGAAAGAUUUAUCGGUUUUGGAUGGACUCGCGGCCUAUCAGCUUGUUGGUGAGGUAAUGGCUCACCAAGGCGACGACGGGUAGCCGGCCUGAGAGGGUGACCGGCCACGCUAGGACUGAGACACGGCCCAGACUCCUACGGGAGGCAGCGGUGGGGAAUAUUGCACAAUGGGCGCAAGCCUGAUGCAGCGACGCCGCGUGAGGGAUGACGGCCUUCGGGUUGUAAACCUCUUUCAGUAGGGAAGAAGCGAAAGUGACGGUACCUGCAGAAGAAGCACCGGCUAACUACGUG